ACCCGCUGAACUUAAGCAUAUCAAUAAGCGGAGGAAAAGAAAAUAACAAUGAUUCCCCUAGUAACUGCGAGUGAAGAGGGACAAGCUCAAAUUUUAAAUCCAUCGGGUUUUACCUGAUCGAGUUGUAAUUUGAAGAAGCGUUUUCUGCGUAUUUGGUCAGCCUAAGUCCUAUUGAAUGAGGCAUCAUGGAGGGUGAUAAUCCCGUCCGGUUGAUCAUUUGCGUUUUACGAUACGCUUUCUAAGAGUCAAGUUGUUUGGGAUUGCAGCUUAAAAUGGGAGGUAAAUUUCUCCUAAGGCUAAAUAACGGCGAGAGACCGAUAGCGAACAAGUACCGUGAGGGAAAGAUGAAAAGAACUUUGAAAAGAGAGUUAAACAGUACGUGAAAUUGUUGAAAGGGAAACGAUUGAAGCCAGUCGUACCUUCGGGUAAUCAGCCUUUCGGGUGCGAUUCUGUGGGGUUUGAGGAGCUUAACACCUUCAUGCUUUGCAUAUUCGUGCUCUUGGGUGUACUUGCCCGUGUGGUUGGUUAACAUCAAUUUCGGGCACCAUAAAAUGGCUGGAGGAAUGUAGCUUCGAUCUUGUAUUGAAGUGUUAUAGCCUUCGGUAGAUGUGGUGAUCGAGAUUGAGGAUUGCAACGGAUACCUUUCGGGGCUACCUGUCUGAUCUCUGAUCGUUGCUUUGUUGCUGAAAGCGUGCUUAUAGUUAUCAAAGUCGAUGGUCAAUAGGUUAGAAUGGGUUAAAUUCGUUAAGGAUGUUGACGUAAUGGCUUUAAACGACCCGUCUUGAAACACGGACCAAGGAGUCUAACAUAUAUGCGAGUGUUAGGGUAAUUAAACCCUUACGCGUAAUGAAAGUAAUUUUGGUGGGAACACUUUUGUGCACCAUCGACCGAUCAGGAUAUUUUUUGAUAGAUUUGAGUAAGAGCAUAUUUGCUAGGACCCGAAAGAUGGUGAACUAUGCCUGAAUAGGGUGAAGUCAGAGGAAACUCUGAUGGAGGCUCGUAGCGGUUCUGACGUGCAAAUCGAUCGUCAAAUUUGGGUAUAGGGGCGAAAGACUAAUCGAACCAUCUAGUAGCUGGUUCCUGCCGAAGUUUCCCUCAGGAUAGCAGAAACUCGUUAACAGUUUUAUGAGGUAAAGCGAAUGAUUAGAGGCCUUAGGGUUGAAACAGCCUUAACCUAUUCUCAAACUUUAAAUAUGUAAGAAGUUUAUCGUUACUUAAUUGAACGUGAACAUUCGAAUGAGAGUUUCUAGUGGGCCAUU
This 1259-nucleotide ribosomal RNA is filed under the name Rhizophagus sp. MUCL 43203. RNAcentral's name for it is "eukaryotic LSU rRNA". It matches the Rfam family "Eukaryotic large subunit ribosomal RNA", at positions 23 to 1135 of the family's 3401-position model. Lineage: Eukaryota; Fungi; Glomeromycota; Glomeromycetes; Glomerales; Glomeraceae. The record is from RNAcentral.